CACCGGUUGCGCAGUCCCUCCCCGCCCCCGCUCUCCCCUCCGCAGCCUGCAGCCCGAGACUUCUGUAAAGGACUGGGGCCCCGCAACUGGCCUCUCCUGCCCUCUUAAGCGCAGCGCCAUUUUAGCAACGCAGAAGCCCGGCGCCGGGAAGCCUCAGCUCGCCUGAAGGUGGUAAACUAUACCUACUGUCCCUCAAGAGAACACAAGAAGUGCUUUAAGAGGCGGCGGAAGGUGAUCGAAUUCCGGUGAUGCGAGUUGUUCUCCGUCUAUAAAUACGCCUCGCCCGAGCUGUGCGGUAGGCAUUGAGGCAGCCAGCGCAGGGGCUUCUGCUGAGGGGGCAGGCGGAGCUUGAGGAAACCGCAGAUAAGUUUUUUUCUCUUUGAAAGAUAGAGAUUAAUACAACUACUUAAAAAAUAUAGUCAAUAGGUUACUAAGAUAUUGCUUAGCGUUAAGUUUUUAACGUAAUUUUAAUAGCUUAAGAUUUUAAGAGAAAAUAUGAAGACUUAGAAGAGUAGCAUGAGGAAGGAAAAGAUAAAAGGUUUCUAAAACAUGACGGAGGUUGAGAUGAAGCUUCUUCAUGGAGUAAAAAAUGUAUUUAAAAGAAAAUUGAGAGAAAGGACUACAGAGCCCCGAAUUAAUACCAAUAGAAGGGCAAUGCUUUUAGAUUAAAAUGAAGGUGACUUAAACAGCUUAAAGUUUAGUUUAAAAGUUGUAGGUGAUUAAAAUAAUUUGAAGGCGAUCUUUUAAAAAGAGAUUAAACCGAAGGUGAUUAAAAGACCUUGAAAUCCAUGACGCAGGGAGAAUUGCGUCAUUUAAAGCCUAGUUAACGCAUUUACUAAACGCAGACGAAAAUGGAAAGAUUAAUUGGGAGUGGUAGGAUGAAACAAUUUGGAGAAGAUAGAAGUUUGAAGUGGAAAACUGGAAGACAGAAGUACGGGAAGGCGAAGAAAAGAAUAGAGAAGAUAGGGAAAUUAGAAGAUAAAAACAUACUUUUAGAAGAAAAAAGAUAAAUUUAAACCUGAAAAGUAGGAAGCAGAAGAAAAAAGACAAGCUAGGAAACAAAAAGCUAAGGGCAAAAUGUACAAACUUAGAAGAAAAUUGGAAGAUAGAAACAAGAUAGAAAAUGAAAAUAUUGUCAAGAGUUUCAGAUAGAAAAUGAAAAACAAGCUAAGACAAGUAUUGGAGAAGUAUAGAAGAUAGAAAAAUAUAAAGCCAAAAAUUGGAUAAAAUAGCACUGAAAAAAUGAGGAAAUUAUUGGUAACCAAUUUAUUUUAAAAGCCCAUCAAUUUAAUUUCUGGUGGUGCAGAAGUUAGAAGGUAAAGCUUGAGAAGAUGAGGGUGUUUACGUAGACCAGAACCAAUUUAGAAGAAUACUUGAAGCUAGAAGGGGAAGUUGGUUAAAAAUCACAUCAAAAAGCUACUAAAAGGACUGGUGUAAUUUAAAAAAAACUAAGGCAGAAGGCUUUUGGAAGAGUUAGAAGAAUUUGGAAGGCCUUAAAUAUAGUAGCUUAGUUUGAAAAAUGUGAAGGACUUUCGUAACGGAAGUAAUUCAAGAUCAAGAGUAAUUACCAACUUAAUGUUUUUGCAUUGGACUUUGAGUUAAGAUUAUUUUUUAAAUCCUGAGGACUAGCAUUAAUUGACAGCUGACCCAGGUGCUACACAGAAGUGGAUUCAGUGAAUCUAGGAAGACAGCAGCAGACAGGAUUCCAGGAACCAGUGUUUGAUGAAGCUAGGACUGAGGAGCAAGCGAGCAAGCAGCAGUUCGUGGUGAAGAUAGGAAAAGAGUCCAGGAGCCAGUGCGAUUUGGUGAAGGAAGCUAGGAAGAAGGAAGGAGCGCUAACGAUUUGGUGGUGAAGCUAGGAAAAAGGAUUCCAGGAAGGAGCGAGUGCAAUUUGGUGAUGAAGGUAGCAGGCGGCUUGGCUUGGCAACCACACGGAGGAGGCGAGCAGGCGUUGUGCGUAGAGGAUCCUAGACCAGCAUGCCAGUGUGCCAAGGCCACAGGGAAAGCGAGUGGUUGGUAAAAAUCCGUGAGGUCGGCAAUAUGUUGUUUUUCUGGAACUUACUUAUGGUAACCUUUUAUUUAUUUUCUAAUAUAAUGGGGGAGUUUCGUACUGAGGUGUAAAGGGAUUUAUAUGGGGACGUAGGCCGAUUUCCGGGUGUUGUAGGUUUCUCUUUUUCAGGCUUAUACUCAUGAAUCUUGUCUGAAGCUUUUGAGGGCAGACUGCCAAGUCCUGGAGAAAUAGUAGAUGGCAAGUUUGUGGGUUUUUUUUUUUUACACGAAUUUGAGGAAAACCAAAUGAAUUUGAUAGCCAAAUUGAGACAAUUUCAGCAAAUCUGUAAGCAGUUUGUAUGUUUAGUUGGGGUAAUGAAGUAUUUCAGUUUUGUGAAUAGAUGACCUGUUUUUACUUCCUCACCCUGAAUUCGUUUUGUAAAUGUAGAGUUUGGAUGUGUAACUGAGGCGGGGGGGAGUUUUCAGUAUUUUUUUUUGUGGGGGUGGGGGCAAAAUAUGUUUUCAGUUCUUUUUCCCUUAGGUCUGUCUAGAAUCCUAAAGGCAAAUGACUCAAGGUGUAACAGAAAACAAGAAAAUCCAAUAUCAGGAUAAUCAGACCACCACAGGUUUACAGUUUAUAGAAACUAGAGCAGUUCUCACGUUGAGGUCUGUGGAAGAGAUGUCCAUUGGAGAAAUGGCUGGUAGUUACUCUUUUUUCCCCCCACCCCCUUAAUCAGACUUUAAAAGUGCUUAACCCCUUAAACUUGUUAUUUUUUACUUGAAGCAUUUUGGGAUGGUCUUAACAGGGAAGAGAGAGGGUGGGGGAGAAAAUGUUUUUUUCUAAGAUUUUCCACAGAUGCUAUAGUACUAUUGACAAACUGGGUUAGAGAAGGAGUGUACCGCUGUGCUGUUGGCACGAACACCUUCAGGGACUGGAGCUGCUUUUAUCCUUGGAAGAGUAUUCCCAGUUGAAGCUGAAAAGUACAGCACAGUGCAGCUUUGGUUCAUAUUCAGUCAUCUCAGGAGAACUUCAGAAGAGCUUGAGUAGGCCAAAUGUUGAAGUUAAGUUUUCCAAUAAUGUGACUUCUUAAAAGUUUUAUUAAAGGGGAGGGGCAAAUAUUGGCAAUUAGUUGGCAGUGGCCUGUUACGGUUGGGAUUGGUGGGGUGGGUUUAGGUAAUUGUUUAGUUUAUGAUUGCAGAUAAACUCAUGCCAGAGAACUUAAAGUCUUAGAAUGGAAAAAGUAAAGAAAUAUCAACUUCCAAGUUGGCAAGUAACUCCCAAUGAUUUAGUUUUUUUCCCCCCAGUUUGAAUUGGGAAGCUGGGGGAAGUUAAAUAUGAGCCACUGGGUGUACCAGUGCAUUAAUUUGGGCAAGGAAAGUGUCAUAAUUUGAUACUGUAUCUGUUUUCCUUCAAAGUAUAGAGCUUUUGGGGAAGGAAAGUAUUGAACUGGGGGUUGGUCUGGCCUACUGGGCUGACAUUAACUACAAUUAUGGGAAAUGCAAAAGUUGUUUGGAUAUGGUAGUGUGUGGUUCUCUUUUGGAAUUUUUUUCAGGUGAUUUAAUAAUAAUUUAAAACUACUAUAGAAACUGCAGAGCAAAGGAAGUGGCUUAAUGAUCCUGAAGGGAUUUCUUCUGAUGGUAGCUUUUGUAUUAUCAAGUAAGAUUCUAUUUUCAGUUGUGUGUAAGCAAGUUUUUUUUUAGUGUAGGAGAAAUACUUUUCCAUUGUUUAACUGCAAAACAAGAUGUUAAGGUAUGCUUCAAAAAUUUUGUAAAUUGUUUAUUUUAAACUUAUCUGUUUGUAAAUUGUAACUGAUUAAGAAUUGUGAUAGUUCAGCUUGAAUGUCUCUUAGAGGGUGGGCUUUUGUUGAUGAGGGAGGGGAAACUUUUUUUUUUUCUAUAGACUUUUUUCAGAUAACAUCUUCUGAGUCAUAACCAGCCUGGCAGUAUGAUGGCCUAGAUGCAGAGAAAACAGCUCCUUGGUGAAUUGAUAAGUAAAGGCAGAAAAGAUUAUAUGUCAUACCUCCAUUGGGGAAUAAGCAUAACCCUGAGAUUCUUACUACUGAUGAGAACAUUAUCUGCAUAUGCCAAAAAAUUUUAAGCAAAUGAAAGCUACCAAUUUAAAGUUACGGAAUCUACCAUUUUAAAGUUAAUUGCUUGUCAAGCUAUAACCACAAAAAUAAUGAAUUGAUGAGAAAUACAAUGAAGAGGCAAUGUCCAUCUCAAAAUACUGCUUUUACAAAAGCAGAAUAAAAGCGAAAAGAAAUGAAAAUGUUACACUACAUUAAUCCUGGAAUAAAAGAAGCCGAAAUAAAUGAGAGAUGAGUUGGGAUCAAGUGGAUUGAGGAGGCUGUGCUGUGUGCCAAUGUUUCGUUUGCCUCAGACAGGUAUCUCUUCGUUAUCAGAAGAGUUGCUUCAUUUCAUCUGGGAGCAGAAAACAGCAGGCAGCUGUUAACAGAUAAGUUUAACUUGCAUCUGCAGUAUUGCAUGUUAGGGAUAAGUGCUUAUUUUUAAGAGCUGUGGAGUUCUUAAAUAUCAACCAUGGCACUUUCUCCUGACCCCUUCCCUAGGGGAUUUCAGGAUUGAGAAAUUUUUCCAUCGAGCCUUUUUAAAAUUGUAGGACUUGUUCCUGUGGGCUUCAGUGAUGGGAUAGUACACUUCACUCAGAGGCAUUUGCAUCUUUAAAUAAUUUCUUAAAAGCCUCUAAAGUGAUCAGUGCCUUGAUGCCAACUAAGGAAAUUUGUUUAGCAUUGAAUCUCUGAAGGCUCUAUGAAAGGAAUAGCAUGAUGUGCUGUUAGAAUCAGAUGUUACUGCUAAAAUUUACAUGUUGUGAUGUAAAUUGUGUAGAAAACCAUUAAAUCAUUCAAAAUAAUAAACUAUUUUUAUUAGAGAAUGUAUACUUUUAGAAAGCUGUCUCCUUAUUUAAAUAAAAUAGUGUUUGUCUGUAGUUCAGUGUUGGGGCAAUCUUGGGGGGGAUUCUUCUCUAAUCUUUCAGAAACUUUGUCUGCGAACACUCUUUAAUGGACCAGAUCAGGAUUUGAGCGGAAGAACGAAUGUAACUUUAAGGCAGGAAAGACAAAUUUUAUUCUUCAUAAAGUGAUGAGCAUAUAAUAAUUCCAGGCACAUGGCAAUAGAGGCCCUCUAAAUAAGGAAUAAAUAACCUCUUAGACAGGUGGGAGAUUAUGAUCAGAGUAAAAGGUAAUUACACAUUUUAUUUCCAGAAAGUCAGGGGUCUAUAAAUUGACAGUGAUUAGAGUAAUACUUUUUCACAUUUCCAAAGUUUGCAUGUUAACUUUAAAUGCUUACAAUCUUAGAGUGGUAGGCAAUGUUUUACACUAUUGACCUUAUAUAGGGAAGGGAGGGGGUGCCUGUGGGGUUUUAAAGAAUUUUCCUUUGCAGAGGCAUUUCAUCCUUCAUGAAGCCAUUCAGGAUUUUGAAUUGCAUAUGAGUGCUUGGCUCUUCCUUCUGUUCUAGUGAGUGUAUGAGACCUUGCAGUGAGUUUAUCAGCAUACUCAAAAUUUUUUUCCUGGAAUUUGGAGGGAUGGGAGGAGGGGGUGGGGCUUACUUGUUGUAGCUUUUUUUUUUUUUACAGACUUCACAGAGAAUGCAGUUGUCUUGACUUCAGGUCUGUCUGUUCUGUUGGCAAGUAAAUGCAGUACUGUUCUGAUCCCGCUGCUAUUAGAAUGCAUUGUGAAACGACUGGAGUAUGAUUAAAAGUUGUGUUCCCCAAUGCUUGGAGUAGUGAUUGUUGAAGGAAAAAAUCCAGCUGAGUGAUAAAGGCUGAGUGUUGAGGAAAUUUCUGCAGUUUUAAGCAGUCGUAUUUGUGAUUGAAGCUGAGUACAUUUUGCUGGUGUAUUUUUAGGUAAAAUGCUUUUUGUUCAUUUCUGGUGGUGGGAGGGGACUGAAGCCUUUAGUCUUUUCCAGAUGCAACCUUAAAAUCAGUGACAAGAAACAUUCCAAACAAGCAACAGUCUUCAAGAAAUUAAACUGGCAAGUGGAAAUGUUUAAACAGUUCAGUGAUCUUUAGUGCAUUGUUUAUGUGUGGGUUUCUCUCUCCCCUCCCUUGGUCUUAAUUCUUACAUGCAGGAACACUCAGCAGACACACGUAUGCGAAGGGCCAGAGAAGCCAGACCCAGUAAGAAAAAAUAGCCUAUUUACUUUAAAUAAACCAAACAUUCCAUUUUAAAUGUGGGGAUUGGGAACCACUAGUUCUUUCAGAUGGUAUUCUUCAGACUAUAGAAGGAGCUUCCAGUUGAAUUCACCAGUGGACAAAAUGAGGAAAACAGGUGAACAAGCUUUUUCUGUAUUUACAUACAAAGUCAGAUCAGUUAUGGGACAAUAGUAUUGAAUAGAUUUCAGCUUUAUGCUGGAGUAACUGGCAUGUGAGCAAACUGUGUUGGCGUGGGGGUGGAGGGGUGAGGUGGGCGCUAAGCCUUUUUUUAAGAUUUUUCAGGUACCCCUCACUAAAGGCACCGAAGGCUUAAAGUAGGACAACCAUGGAGCCUUCCUGUGGCAGGAGAGACAACAAAGCGCUAUUAUCCUAAGGUCAAGAGAAGUGUCAGCCUCACCUGAUUUUUAUUAGUAAUGAGGACUUGCCUCAACUCCCUCUUUCUGGAGUGAAGCAUCCGAAGGAAUGCUUGAAGUACCCCUGGGCUUCUCUUAACAUUUAAGCAAGCUGUUUUUAUAGCAGCUCUUAAUAAUAAAGCCCAAAUCUCAAGCGGUGCUUGAAGGGGAGGGAAAGGGGGAAAGCGGGCAACCACUUUUCCCUAGCUUUUCCAGAAGCCUGUUAAAAGCAAGGUCUCCCCACAAGCAACUUCUCUGCCACAUCGCCACCCCGUGCCUUUUGAUCUAGCACAGACCCUUCACCCCUCACCUCGAUGCAGCCAGUAGCUUGGAUCCUUGUGGGCAUGAUCCAUAAUCGGUUUCAAGGUAACGAUGGUGUCGAGGUCUUUGGUGGGUUGAACUAUGUUAGAAAAGGCCAUUAAUUUGCCUGCAAAUUGUUAACAGAAGGGUAUUAAAACCACAGCUAAGUAGCUCUAUUAUAAUACUUAUCCAGUGACUAAAACCAACUUAAACCAGUAAGUGGAGAAAUAACAUGUUCAAGAACUGUAAUGCUGGGUGGGAACAUGUAACUUGUAGACUGGAGAAGAUAGGCAUUUGAGUGGCUGAGAGGGCUUUUGGGUGGGAAUGCAAAAAUUCUCUGCUAAGACUUUUUCAGGUGAACAUAACAGACUUGGCCAAGCUAGCAUCUUAGCGGAAGCUGAUCUCCAAUGCUCUUCAGUAGGGUCAUGAAGGUUUUUCUUUUCCUGAGAAAACAACACGUAUUGUUUUCUCAGGUUUUGCUUUUUGGCCUUUUUCUAGCUUAAAAAAAAAAAAAGCAAAAGAUGCUGGUGGUUGGCACUCCUGGUUUCCAGGACGGGGUUCAAAUCCCUGCGGCGUCUUUGCUUUGACUACUAAUCUGUCUUCAGGACUCUUUCUGUAUUUCUCCUUUUCUCUGCAGGUGCUAGUUCUUGGAGUUUUGGGGAGGUGGGAGGUAACAGCACAAUAUCUUUGAACUAUAUACAUCCUUGAUGUAUAAUUUGUCAGGAGCUUGACUUGAUUGUAUAUUCAUAUUUACACGAGAACCUAAUAUAACUGCCUUGUCUUUUUCAGGUAAUAGCCUGCAGCUGGUGUUUUGAGAAGCCCUACUGCUGAAAACUUAACAAUUUUGUGUAAUAAAAAUGGAGAAGCU
This 7717-nucleotide long non-coding RNA is filed under the name Homo sapiens (human). The record is from RNAcentral. Lineage: Eukaryota; Metazoa; Chordata; Mammalia; Primates; Hominidae.